AUAACUUAAUUUUCAAUCAAGUUAGUUUAUAUGUUUAAUCAAGUCAAGUACUUUCAAAUUAGACAUAUAAAUAUAGGCCAAUUCUUUCCUACAGUAUCUGACUUGUGUGCGUGACUCCAUAUGUUCAAACACUGAGCUGAUAGCAUAGGAAUCGAUUCUUGUACUAAUCGAGAUACCAUCUAGCAAUAAUUUUUGAUAUCC
RNAcentral lists this long non-coding RNA (201 nucleotides) under Elaeis guineensis (African oil palm). RNAcentral describes it as "long non-coding RNA (EGUI_LNC063780)". The record is from RNAcentral. Lineage: Eukaryota; Viridiplantae; Streptophyta; Magnoliopsida; Arecales; Arecaceae.